RNAcentral lists this ribosomal RNA (494 nucleotides) under Fuligo septica. RNAcentral's name for it is "SSU rRNA". It matches the Rfam family "Eukaryotic small subunit ribosomal RNA", at positions 28 to 470 of the family's 1831-position model. The record is from RNAcentral. Lineage: Eukaryota; Evosea; Eumycetozoa; Physariida; Physaraceae.
AUGCUUCUCCUAAAGACUAAGCCAUGCAUGCCUCGAAUAGAAGAGCAUCUCUCUGAAUCUGCGAACGGCUCCGCAAACCAGUUGUAAACUAUAGCAAGUCCGCCUUGGUGCUGGCCGUAAGGUUGGUGCUGGGGCUACAUGGAUACCCGUGGUAAUUCUGAGGCUAAUACAUGAACGUACCCCCUGAUCAACUGGGUAACCGGGAGGUUGGGGACAGUGCGGUCAGUCGCAGAUUUUGCUGGGAAUAGACGCACUUUCAAACCACCAUACAAGCAGUUGGGGUACCAACCUUCGGGAAGGUGCCCUUUCUGGGUGGGCCUUGCUUUGUGCUUCUGACCUAUCAACUAGAUGGCAGCGUAACGGACAUGCUAUGGUUACAACGGGUACAGAGGAUAAGGGUUCGAUCCUGGAGAGUGGGCCUGAGAGAUUGCUCACACUUCUAAGGAAGGCAGCAGGCGCGUAACGUUCCCCCUGGGCAAUGCUCGAGGGCGUUA